ACUUUUAAUAGAACUUCUAAUAAAUCAUAAAAUAAAAAAUAACAAUGUAACAUAAUACAAAACUUUAAAAGAAAAUAAAUCAUUUUUUUAAGAAAAUAUAAAUGAUCUUGUACGUAAUAGAGAAUGAUAACAAGAAUUAAUUGCAAAUUAUAACUAAGUAGAACAACUCAAAAAUGGAAAACCUUCAACCAAACACAAAGAAGUAUCUAUACAAAAAGUACUAAGAAGGAAAUUAAUAAUAAUCUAAGAAAUACAAUACGUAAUCAAUACUAUUCCUUUUGCAUCAGGAGCUUACUAGAAACACUAUAAAUAAAUCAUAAAAUAAAAUAAAAUACUAAUUAAGAAAUUUAUAACACCCGAAAUCUUGUGAUCUAACUACAGACAGUCUAAAAGGACGAAUUAAUAAAUGUUACAAUAUUUUUAAAUGAACUGUAAUUAGAAAUAAAAAAUUAAACAAACAAGAAUAUACCUGGUUUUCAACGAAACAUAUUAAAGUAUUACCAAUAAAUAUAAAAUCCAAUUCUUUUUAAAAGAAAAUAAACAGACUUCUUGUGAAAAGAUUAUAAGUCAAAAUGGAAACAGCCAUACUCUACAUCUAAAAUCACAAAUAAACUUUCAAUAUUACAACACAAUACAAUAAAAGUUGACUUAAAAACAGCCAUCUUCUAACAAAAACGUAAUAGUUUACAACAAUAAAACACUAAUAAAAAAUACACGAAUGAGAUAAUUUAACAUUAGAAAUAAAAAAUUAGUUGAAUAAUCAAUACUUACUACUGAAUAAAUAAUAUAAGCACUAGUAAUUUUUCAAUACACCCAAGGAAAUAAAAACGGUGUUUAAUUCAUAACAACUUACUUACAACCGUACCCAAAACCAACACAGGUGGGAAAACAUAAAACAUAAAAACUCUUAAGGAACUAGGCAAAUAAAAGCUCGACUGUUUACCAAAAACAUAGCUAUAAGAAAAAAUUAUAAAUAGUGACGCCUGCUCAAUGGUUGAACAAUAACACUUAACAACAAUUCAAUAGCUGCGGUAAUACCUAACCGUACAAAGGUAGCACAACAAAUAGCCUGAUAAUUCCAGGAUCGCAUGAAGGCAAAACGAAACUUUACCUGUCUCAAGAACCUAAAAAGAAAAUAGAAUGUGUGUGAAAAUCCACACUUAAGCGGCAAGACGACAAGACCCUAAAAACUUUACUAAAAAUCUUAAACAUUACUACCAACAACUAUACAAAUACAAUAAAUAGAAAAACUCAAGAUUAAAGUUUCGUUGGGGCAACGAUCUCAAAAACAAUAAAUAAGAUUAAUACAAUCCUCUAACCCACAAACCAAUAAGUUUUACCGAUAAGACCCAUUAAUAAUAUAAAUUAAUGAACAUAAAAUAAAAGCUCUUUAGGGAUAACAGCGUAAUAUUGUUUACAAAGAUCCACUCAAACAAUGUUUGCGACCUCGAUGUUGAAUUGCUAUACCCCUAAUGUAGACACAUUAAAAGGUUGGACUGUCCUUCCAUUAAAAUAGCCCAUGAUUUGAGUUCAGACCGAGGCAACUCAGGUCAGAUUCUAUCUACCGCCACAUUAAAAUAAAGCCUAAGUACGAAAGGAAAACGCUUUUAAACAAAUAGUAUUAAAUAAUUACCACGAUAAAAAAAAUUAAAAUUAUAAAUUUAAAUACUUUUAUACUCCAUAACAAUAAAUGAAUAUAUUAAUAAAAACAGCAUUGU
RNAcentral lists this ribosomal RNA (1718 nucleotides) under Aphrocallistes vastus (cloud sponge). RNAcentral's name for it is "16S ribosomal RNA". The stretch from base 1165 to 1568 matches the Rfam family "Bacterial large subunit ribosomal RNA", at positions 2072 to 2648 of the family's 2925-position model. Lineage: Eukaryota; Metazoa; Porifera; Hexactinellida; Sceptrulophora; Aphrocallistidae. The record is from RNAcentral.